AGUGGUAGUUCUCAAAGAGGCUGAGAGGGAAGACCCUGCUCCCUCAUGGAGGUAAGAGCCAUUGACUUCUUUGGGCAUAUGGGUUUCUUGGGGGAGAAAUGGGAUCCCUGCUGCAUAGCCUGACUGGGAGCUUCCCCCAUCCCUGGGACAGAGACAUCUCCAUCAAUGUGCCACCCUUGUUUUUUUCCUAGCAAGAGGCUCCCCAGAGAACUCCUACUCAAACCUGUUCUCCUGGGAGCGUUUCUGGGAGGAGGCUCCCAUCCCUCAGUCUCCAACUCCAUCAUGCAGUCUCUUUCACCUAACAUCUCCGCUCUCCAGCCCCACUUCCCGCAGCAGGACAAACGGACCUUCAGCUCCUAGAGAACAGACUCUGACCUCCUCCUGAUCAGCAAUGGGGUUUCACCAUCCUCUCAGCAAACCUGUCAGCCGGGCUGGACCAGAUUUGAAGGAGGAGGGUAUCUAACAGGGUGGCUUGGCCUGUGGCUGCCAAGCCUGGGGCUAGGCCAAGUUGAUGACCAAGUGAGCCCCACCUGAGAGGAAACGAGGGGAAACAGCAGCAAAAGUACAGAAGCAGACCGAGCUGCUCAGUAGACGGCCUCUGGCCAAAACCUGGAGUCCAGGGUAGGACUGGGUUCUCUCACCGACCCUAAGGAAGGGGACAUAGAAGACCAUAGAAACCCAAGAAGGGCAGGCCAAGCCGAAAUCAGGCCGAGGAAGAGCUCCCCACAAGGGUGGAAGGCCUUGUUUCUGUUCAAGACAUUUUUGGACUUUGUUUGGAAGGAGCACGACCCAGGAAGGAGUGGACUAGAGGACAGUCACCUGGUUGGGGGGCUGAGUUCCCAGCCAACAAACUGCAAGCGUGAGUAUCAGCGGGGUUGCUAGCCCAGCGAGAAAGCGGUGACACGAGGCCUGGCCAGCAUCUAGCGACCCUCUGUUCUCCUUCUGGGCUGCCUGGACCCUGACUGUAACAUCUCUCUGGCCCAGCCUCUUACCCAGAUGUGUGCUGCAGCCAGCCCAGCGCAGGGAGCAGUGGAGACAGACGAUCUCAUCCUGUCAGACCAAGAAACAGGGGUCCCAAUAAGGCUUAGAUGGAAGAUCCCAGGCAUCUCCUGGAGAGGAUGCGUCUGGGACCCUGGAGACUGUUUCGUGCAGGAGGUUUGAGCGGGGAGAGAUCAGUCACUGUCAUGACCCCCGGGUCAUUAACCCGGGUCUCCAGGGUUCCUGGGAGCAGCCACCCUCCAGCACGCCACCUGGAAGCCUACGAAAAACUGCUUACCUAGGACUGACGAAGUCCAGACCCAGUUUGAGGCUCCAUCCCUGAGGACCUAUUGGCAGAGUCCCAGAACAGCUAAUCGGCCCCCGGGACCUCCUUAAACCAGCAGCAGGAACAAGGAGCUGUCUGAACACCCGAGCUCCUCCCCGGCUCUGGACCGUGUGUUGGCUGUUCCUGCUCCCGCUCCCCAGGCUUGAUUUCCUGGCAUGCGGACUCGGGGUGACUCAUCUGACUUGAGAUGCUGAACACAAUUUGGUCUUUUGCUUCUCCUCUUCCAGCGUCCUGACCCAGCUGACUCUCGACUCCUGCCUUGUGAGUGUGGACUCCGCCUCUGACCACUAGGUCUGGCUGCCCAUGACCCAGCCAUGAUUCUGACUUUUCGACAAUUCCUCCAGUGCCCUUUUCUGCUCUCCAGCUCUGCUCUCCCAGCAAGACACACCGAUCCCUUGGCUCCCAGAGUCCUGCUUGCCUGCUAUUCAAGGGCUCAGGGGGAGAGCUUAUCUUGCCCCCUCCCGCACCAACGGCUGCUUUUCCUCGGGGACUCUCCCUAGCGCAGAGGAGAAUCCGUCCUGGCAGCAAUUCAGGAAGUCACGGAAGGGACGGUCUGCUCAGCUCCCUCUGCAAUGCCACUGCCCGAGACCAUUACGAGUGGGUGCCCAGUGACUGCGCCGGCAGCUCCUUGAGAGACUCCUGGGGCAGGGUAGUCGUGUUUCCCGGUGACUGCGGGAAGCCAUGCAAAGGGUGCGGCAUUGAGGAGACUCUCCUGCUGUCCCAAAGGGUUUCUGUUCUCCUGCACGGUCAGACCGUGGGGCCGGCUGGCAGAAUGGGGAAGAGCUGGUUGGUGAUGAGUCGGAGGAUUCACCAUAGAGGUGGCAGCAGCUGCAGAUCCUGGAGUCCCUGUGGUCGGGUUACCAUGCGUCCGGAUUUUCCCGGACAUGUCCGGCUUUUGGGGUUUUCAAUCGCCCUCCGGGAGGAAUUUGUAAAACUCUCCAAAGGGCCGGGAUUUCCCUCCCAAUGCAGCACUCUGGGGGCGGGGCGGGGGGAGCUGCGCGCUCUGCGGGGGAGCA
This is a long non-coding RNA of Chelonia mydas (Green sea turtle), 2340 nucleotides long. RefSeq lists it as uncharacterized. The transcript has 3 exons. Lineage: Eukaryota; Metazoa; Chordata; Testudines; Cheloniidae. The record is from RefSeq and is a predicted model, not a curated record.